RNAcentral lists this unclassified non-coding RNA (242 nucleotides) under air metagenome. RNAcentral describes it as "partial contains small subunit ribosomal RNA, internal transcribed spacer 1, and 5.8S ribosomal RNA". The stretch from base 1 to 46 matches the Rfam family "Eukaryotic small subunit ribosomal RNA", at positions 1786 to 1831 of the family's 1831-position model. The record is from RNAcentral.
AAGUCGUAACAAGGUUUCCGUAGGUGAACCUGCGGAAGGAUCAUUAUCGAUGGCCGCGCCGUGAGCGCCUCGGCGGGAUCGGCCGGCCACUGACCACACCCUUACUCUACGAGCACCUUUCGUUCUCCUUCGGCGGGGCGACCCGCCGCUGGAACCUCAUCACGAACCUUUUUUGCAUCUAGCAUUACCUGUUCUGAUAAAUUUAAUCGUUACAACUUUCAACAAUGGAUCUCUUGGCUCUG